AUUGAAGGCUGAAAUUCGCCUUCAUGAAGCCGGAAUUGCUAGUAAUGGCAGGUCAGCAUACUGCCGUGAAUACGUUCCCGGGCCUUGUACACACCGCCCGUCACACCAUGAGAGUUGGGAAUACCCGAAGCCUGUGAGCUAACAUUAAGAGGCAGCAGUCGAAGGUAGAAUCAAUGAUUGGGGUGAAGUCGUAACAAGGUACC
RNAcentral lists this ribosomal RNA (203 nucleotides) under uncultured bacterium. RNAcentral's name for it is "partial 16S ribosomal RNA". It matches the Rfam family "Bacterial small subunit ribosomal RNA", at positions 1297 to 1500 of the family's 1533-position model. The record is from RNAcentral.